Molecule: non-coding RNA, 257 nt
Filed under: Bacillus sp. CECT 9360
Lineage: Bacteria; Bacillati; Bacillota; Bacilli; Caryophanales; Bacillaceae
Description: T-box
Rfam family: T-box leader
About the family: Uncharged tRNA acts as the effector for transcription antitermination of genes in the T-box leader family. T-boxes are found upstream of many aminoacyl-tRNA synthetase genes and some amino acid biosynthetic genes usually in Gram-positive bacteria. The anticodon of a specific tRNA base pairs to a specifier sequence within the T-box motif, and the NCCA acceptor tail of the tRNA base pairs to a conserved bulge in the T-box antiterminator hairpin.
Source: RNAcentral
CAGAAUGCGUAGACGGGGAGAAGUAAAGACAUGAUGCUUUCAGAGAGAACCAUGACCUGGUGAAAGUGGUUCAAGCCUCUCAUGCUUGAAAUGCACCCCUGAGUCCUUUGUUGAACCUUACUUACAAGUAGGCGAAGGCGGCAAUUCCUCCGUUAUCGGGAAAAGAGUUGGGAAUGAAAUGUAUCAGCAGGACUUUACUUGCGUGAGAAAUUGCAUUCCAAACAGAGUGGAACCGCGCGCAGUUAAGCGUCUCUGUC